RNAcentral lists this transfer RNA (85 nucleotides) under Felis catus (domestic cat). It matches the Rfam family "tRNA". Rfam says of the family: Transfer RNA (tRNA) molecules are approximately 80 nucleotides in length. Lineage: Eukaryota; Metazoa; Chordata; Mammalia; Carnivora; Felidae. The record is from Rfam by way of RNAcentral.
GCCUGGGUGGCUCAGUUGGUUAAGCAUCUGACUUCGGCUCAGAUCGUGAUCUCGCGGUCCGUGAGUUCAAGCCCCGCGUCGGGCU